This is a long non-coding RNA of Magnolia sinica, 2679 nucleotides long. RefSeq lists it as uncharacterized. NCBI's taxonomy places the organism in Eukaryota, Viridiplantae, Streptophyta, Magnoliopsida, Magnoliales, Magnoliaceae. The transcript is spliced from 4 exons. The record is from RefSeq and is a predicted model, not a curated record.
GAGAUGCUUCCAGAAGGAUUGCAGCAUGUGACUACCCUCAAGAAAUUGGAGACAUCUGGUAUGUCUUAUAGUUUCACAAAUAGGCUUCGAAGAGAUGAGGGAGAGGAUUGGUAUAAGAUUCAACACAUACCGUCCAUCCACAUUGGUCCAAGCCAUUAAAUCCUCAGGAGCACCUUCCACCAAAAUAUGCUGAAGCUAUUUCUUAAGAUAAAUAUUGAGAUGUGGAAUUUGUUGUUGUUGUCAUGACUGGCGAUCAAAGACAGGCUUUCAUUCUUUGUUGAAGACUGAUUCAGGUUAUCUCCCUAGUAAAGCCGGACAUGCCUCAACAAUUGAAAGCGAGGCUUCAUGUAGCAGUAUGGUUGGAUGACCUACAUUGAAAAUUGACACCACUGGAAAUGCCUCAACAAUUGAAAGUGAGGCUUCGAGAAGAAGAGCGGGAGAGGAUUGGCAUAAGAGUCAACAUGUACCCUUCAUUAACAUACAUGAAUUAGAUGUGAAUAUGGUGUUGUUGUGACUAGCAAUCAAAGACGAGCUUUCCUUGUUUACUGCACACAGUUCAUGAUCUCUCCAAAGCAAAGCAGACGCAUUGAGGUUGGAAAGUCUCAAGCUUGUGCAACCCAGCUCCCUUGCAAGCCAACACAGGCCUGGAUGGAAGACGCGCAAAAUCCAAGCUGUCCAUCAGGUGGGUCCCCACUUCUUGAUGCCAUAGCCCAAAAUCCAGGCGAGUCCACUCCAUGGAAGGAUCACCAAAAGGGCCCCAUGCCCUAGGAAUUCUGUGCAGCUAGACCUAUUUUGAGUUCUUUUCUAAGCACAUCAUAUAUAUGGCUUAACAAACUGUUGUAUCUCAGACUAAAGGUAAGUGGUAUCACAUUUCUGUUGUAUCUCAAAUAAAUUUAAUUCAGUUCCUUGGCCUCCCAUUUGAUAGGACAUUGGAAGAAGUACACACUUUCUGUGGAAAAUUUUACUCUGAGAAAAUUUCUUGGAUCUUCUUCUGUUAAUUUCCUUUUUCAUUUCUGGUGUGUUAUCUAUUGGAAUUGCAGCAUCUGAUGCCUUGAAGUGAACAGCAAGGACAUGGAUCCUACAUAGUGGGCCAAGACUAUCAUCUAAAUAGCAACGUUUAUGUUGCCCGUGUCUUUUGCAUUAUAAGUUUUGAUUAUAUGUUUGUUUUCGAGUGACAAAGGUAAAUGAGAAGACUUGAUUUGUUCAUGUUUUGAUUUUCAAAACAUUGUUACUUUGCGAUUGCAGAAAGGGAAUUAAUAACUGUAUUCAAGGAGAAAUCCAGUGGAAGUUUGUUCCAUUUUAUGGUUCUUAUUCUGGCUUCCUCAUUUAUGAAUAGCGUGAGAUAAUUGGAUGAUGUUUUCAAACUGUAGAAUGAGAAUGUUUGGAUUUUUUUUUUCCUUACCAAUCUUUAGUGCUUCAAUAUAACAAAGAGUUCCCAUAAUGUUUGACUUGAGCAACUAUUUAGAGGGUAGGCUCGAGUGUCCACAAUGCUUGCAUGGAUGCAUGAUCAAAGCUGUUCAUCAAAGUGCAACCACAAUAUGGCUUUCGUUGUGUGGAAUUCAGGUCUGUCCACUCAUCUAAUGGCCACACAUUUACAUUAAAUGCUGACCACACUUGUAUGGAGCCUUACCAAUCGCAUGCACCAAAAUAGCAUAAGCAUGUGAGGUAAGAGCUUUUUCAUCAGAUGGACCAGUGUGUACAAAACAAAUGGAUGUCUAGAAGAAAACUAUAUCAGCCAAUCCAUUUCUUUUGUAUAGUCUCCAACCUGAGAAGCAAAACUUCCUGAUUUUUUUGCGCAAGAACAUCUAAUCAAUCUGGUUCAUGUAAUGGAAUUAUGGAAAGCUGGGAUCUCAUAUACAUCUUCCAUAUUGGCAUGUGCAGCUAUAUGUGGAUGUGCACAGCUCCACACACCUGUGGGCUUAGCAAACAACUGUUUCAGAUUUACUUAAUUUGGUAUUGAUUUGGUUGGUCCUUGUAUAUGAUAUUUGCCUAUAUUGCAUGCGUAACUCUUUAACUGCAGUAGUGUAAUUUUUGUUGUCGGCAGGGAACUCAACGAGGAGCAAGUACAUUUGGAUUUGCUUGCAGUCAAUCCAUUCGAAACCCAUGUCAGAUGAUAAUAGUAAUCUCACAUCCCAAGCUUAAAUUUGGAUGGACAUUGACCGGCAGAUUAGAAGCUUGGUUCUGUAGGGUUUUUGGCCCAUCUUCCACCUAUGGCAGAGCUUAUCAAUUAAAGUUUGUAUCUCACAAUUGCUGGCCCUACUUGUAAAUUGUAACGUGCAUACACUUCAACCCAAUGCACUAUGAACUCAUAUUUUCUCCAUGAUUAGUUUUAGGGGUCAUUUGGAUGCCUGUAAGUUUUAUUAGUUGUAAAGGGUCUACAGGUGUUUGGAUAAGAAAUUUCACUGUCAGUUACAAUAUAGCAUGAGCUCACUUUCAGGUGGAACUUAUUUGCAACUUAGAAAGUUAUAGGCAUCCAAAUGGACACUUGAAAUAACUAUAUGCUUCCACUACUAUAGAUUCAAGCAAACAAAUUAUAGCAUUUGACUUUCAGGUUUUACUUACAAAUUUGAUUUAGGAAAUACUGUGAUGACCACUAGACAGAUGUGGAGGUGGAAUGAUGAUUUGACAGUGAUGAGAUGUUUGGAUGAUAUUUUCUAGCUUGAGGAUAUUUGUAUCUUU